GCACGUUAACACCCCCAAACGGCGAUCAAAAUUUAGCCUUUGUUGCAUUCGCAAUGCAUUCACAGCGCUUGCACAGUCUGCCGAUAAUCACGCGUUUUGCGAUUUUGCAACUGAAUCUGAAUAAAGCCCAUAGUGCGCAAAUACUAGAAGGACAUUUACUGUAAUAUGUUAUAGAUGCUGUUAGAGAAGAUAAUAUACACGUUCCCUUUGAUUAUUUUUACAAUAUUUAGCCUACAAUAAUGUGGUUAUUGCACAGAGAUCGUCCUCUUUAUGUUUGAAGAUCACAUUACAUGAGUGAAGAGCUGUUUGGAUUUUUACAGAGUUGUCCGAUCUUUAGUGGACUGCACAUGUGCAUUGAUAGAGCUGCGAGGU
Molecule: long non-coding RNA, 372 nt
Organism: Pseudophryne corroboree (corroboree frog)
Lineage: Eukaryota; Metazoa; Chordata; Amphibia; Anura; Myobatrachidae
Exons: 2
Source: RefSeq, a predicted model, not a curated record